Lepidothrix coronata (blue-crowned manakin) is the source of this 787-nucleotide long non-coding RNA. RefSeq lists it as uncharacterized. Lineage: Eukaryota; Metazoa; Chordata; Aves; Passeriformes; Pipridae. The record is from RefSeq and is a predicted model, not a curated record. The transcript is spliced from 3 exons.
UCUCUUCUCCUGGGCUUUGCUCUGCUCUGACCCGGGGGAACCCCCGGGACGCACCGAGCUCCUUCUGUCCCUCGGAUAAACCAGAUCCAAACCCUUCCCGAGGCAAAGGACACUUGAAACCCCAGGUGGGCAGCUCUGCCUGUCGCUCUCUCUCUCUCUCUCGCUCAGCUCUCGGGAAUGGUUCAGCUCCUCCUCUCUCUAAUUCUUCCACCCUUUUUUUUGUAAGAGCUCCGCGGAGCCGGUGCCGGUUCGGGUGGUUGUUUCCCGCACGGGGACCGGCUCAGGCGGUCGUUGCCAUGGAAAUAGGAAGCCUGGCGUGGAUGGGAAGCAGCGGGAAGCGUGCAGGGCAGGAUUCGAGCACUAGAUGCUGCUCUUGCUCCAGACUGAAAGCGAAGCGAUGAUGUAAAAACAGGAUUGGAAAAAUCUGGCUUUUUGAUGCCACUGAAGUCGCUGAGUCCUGAGGGCACUUUAAUGAACUGGAGAUUGGGUGAAAGCCUGAUGAACUUUUGAAGAAUUACAGUCAGAGGUCAAUUCUAGACAAGUAAAAUCCCACAGCAAACUCGCAUUUGCUCCUGUGUCAAAGACUGAAGGACAUUCCUCCACAUUCCCUUUGCUCAACGCCCUGUGAAAUGAAUUCCAUGGAUUUGCCUCUUUGAAUGGCAAAUCCAUAAACCCGAAACAGAAAGUCGGGACAGAACCAAGCUGGUUGUUUCCUCAGUGGGUUUGAACAGUCCAGGGAAAGGGGAAGUUUGGUGGACGUGGUGCUUGAAAAAAAAGAGAUGGUGUU